GUUAUAUCAACUAAUAUAUUACUAGGGUUUGCAAUAGAAGGUUCAUAAUUUUAUUUCUCAACAUCCUCUCUCUACUGAAUAAGUCGAUAGUGAUGAGAUUCCAUAAUAACAGUCUAGUUCAUGUUCUUCUUUGGAUGAUCAACACUCAUGUCCCUCUUUGGUGUUCAUCGUUGCUUCUCGUCUUGUAGAAAUUCAAUGGUCUUAAAGAAGAAAGAUGAAAUAUAAAUCAUGCUCACAAGUAUUUCAUUACUCUAUAAAUAAUUAUGUCCAUAAAUAUACUAUAAAGGUGAUCUUAUCUUUUUUCAACUAAACUCAUUAUAUAUAUUGAAUUGCUGGAAGAAUUUUUCUUUUGUAGGGUAAAUAAUUUACAAGUAAAUUAAGAUUGAAAUGAUUUGAGUAACACAUAGUUCUAUCUCCACCAUUACGGUUUUGUAAUUA
Long non-coding RNA from Solanum lycopersicum (tomato), 438 nucleotides. RefSeq lists it as uncharacterized. The record is from RefSeq and is a predicted model, not a curated record. NCBI's taxonomy places the organism in Eukaryota, Viridiplantae, Streptophyta, Magnoliopsida, Solanales, Solanaceae.